CUCAAUUCAAAAACUUAUCUAAAACAUGUAGUUACUGGGAAAUUCCAGAUUAAUUUCCUGUAAGUUUUAGUUUGUUAACUAUUGUGUUAAACACUUAAGGGAGCAGCUCCUAGAUGACUAAACCUGCUCAGCUGAAUUCAAAUGCUCUCAUGCUUCCCUGAAGGGACACACACAGAGUCUCUUCACCUGAGGAAUAAAGUAUAAGAUCUUCAGAACUUUUAUUCAGGGGAGAAAGGCCCAGGUAGCUGCUGCUGUUCAGCUUAAGGCUAAUCUGACCUUCUAUAACAGGAGUUCAAGUCCCAGAAAUCCCUGGUCCUCCAUCUGAGGCUUCUCCACUCAUUGCAGGAGAAGAGAGUCUGAGUUGCUCCCUCAUCAAUCAAGUGGAGAGUCCAGGAAGGGAGAUGGGGGCAGUAACCUGCAUGGAGCUGUCACCUCCUAUGAUAACAACAUCUGGAAUACCUCCUGAAGGACAUGCCUGAGGCUGUUUUACAGUUAACUUUUUAAAAAAUACAUAAGUAGAAAGAGUACACUCUAAAAUAAAAUAAAAGGUAUAGUAUAAUAA
RNAcentral lists this long non-coding RNA (562 nucleotides) under Pongo abelii (Sumatran orangutan). Its description in RNAcentral is "lincRNA". The record is from RNAcentral. Lineage: Eukaryota; Metazoa; Chordata; Mammalia; Primates; Hominidae.